Molecule: long non-coding RNA, 110 nt
Organism: Etheostoma cragini (Arkansas darter)
Lineage: Eukaryota; Metazoa; Chordata; Actinopteri; Perciformes; Percidae
Exons: 3
Source: RefSeq, a predicted model, not a curated record
AUGAGCAAUACUGAACAAAUUCUAAUAGAGCUCAUGUGCCAGUUGAUAGCGACAUAUCGAGCGAUAAUAAGAAAACAACAGCGCUAUCAACACAUCGCUAUGACGAUGCA